Molecule: ribosomal RNA, 764 nt
Filed under: Rhodococcus sp. (in: high G+C Gram-positive bacteria)
Lineage: Bacteria; Bacillati; Actinomycetota; Actinomycetes; Mycobacteriales; Nocardiaceae
Description: bacterial SSU rRNA
Rfam family: Bacterial small subunit ribosomal RNA
Source: RNAcentral
CGUGCUUAACACAUGCAAGUCGAGCGGUAAGGCCUUUCGGGGUACACGAGCGGCGAACGGGUGAGUAACACGUGGGUGAUCUGCCCUGCACUUCGGGAUAAGCCUGGGAAACUGGGUCUAAUACCGGAUAUGACCUCCUAUCGCAUGGUGGGUGGUGGAAAGAUUUAUCGGUGCAGGAUGGGCCCGCGGCCUAUCAGCUUGUUGGUGGGGUAAUGGCCUACCAAGGCGACGACGGGUAGCCGACCUGAGAGGGUGACCGGCCACACUGGGACUGAGACACGGCCCAGACUCCUACGGGAGGCAGCAGUGGGGAAUAUUGCACAAUGGGCGAAAGCCUGAUGCAGCGACGCCGCGUGAGGGACGACGGCCUUCGGGUUGUAAACCUCUUUCAGCAGGGACGAAGCGCAAGUGACGGUACCUGCAGAAGAAGCACCGGCUAACUACGUGCCAGCAGCCGCGGUAAUACGUAGGGUGCAAGCGUUGUCCGGAAUUACUGGGCGUAAAGAGUUCGUAGGCGGUUUGUCACGUCGUUUGUGAAAACUCACAGCUCAACUGUGAGCCUGCAGGCGAUACGGGCAGACUUGAGUACUGCAGGGGAGACUGGAAUUCCUGGUGUAGCGGUGAAAUGCGCAGAUAUCAGGAGGAACACCGGUGGCGAAGGCGGGUCUCUGGGCAGUAACUGACGCUGAGGAACGAAAGCGUGGGUAGCGAACAGGAUUAGAUACCCUGGUAGUCCACGCCGUAAACGGUGGGCGCUAGGUGUG